AGAGUUUGAUCCUGGCUCAGAACGAACGCUGGCGGCACGCCUAACACAUGCAAGUCGAGCGCACUUAUGAUCUUCGGAUUAUAGGCGAGCGGCGGACGGGUUAGUAACGCGUGGGAACGUACCCUUUACUACGGAAUAGCCUUUGGAAACGAAGAGUAAUACCGUAUACGCCCUUCGGGGGAAAGAUUUAUCGGUAAAGGAUCGGCCCGCGUUAGAUUAGAUAGUUGGUGGGGUAAUGGCCUACCAAGUCUACGAUCUAUAGCUGGUUUGAGAGGAUGAUCAGCAACACUGGGACUGAGACACGGCCCAGACUCCUACGGGAGGCAGCAGUGGGGAAUCUUAGACAAUGGGCGAAAGCCUGAUCUAGCGAUGCCGCGUGAGUGAAGAAGGCCUUAGGGUCGUAAAACUCUUUCGCCAGAGAUGAUAAUGACAGUAUCUGGUAAAGAAACCCCGCUAACU
This 459-nucleotide ribosomal RNA is filed under the name uncultured bacterium. Its description in RNAcentral is "bacterial SSU rRNA". It matches the Rfam family "Bacterial small subunit ribosomal RNA", at positions 8 to 502 of the family's 1533-position model. The record is from RNAcentral.